Molecule: ribosomal RNA, 494 nt
Filed under: uncultured bacterium
Lineage: Bacteria
Description: partial 16S ribosomal RNA
Rfam family: Bacterial small subunit ribosomal RNA
Source: RNAcentral
GACGAACGCUGGCGGCGUGCUUAACACAUGCAAGUCGAACGGUGAAGCGCUUUCCUUUUUGGCGGGCGUGGGUGAGUGGCGAACGGGUGAGUAACACCUGAGUAACCUGCCCCCUUCUUCUGGAUAACCGCAUGAAAGUGUGGCUAAUACGGGAUAUUCUGGGCCUGUCGAAUGAUGGGUUCGGGAAAGCUAUUGCUUCGGAGGGGGAUGGGAUCGCGGUCUAUCAGGUUGUUGGUGGGGUGAUGCCCUACCAAGGCGAUGUCGGGUUGCUGGCCUGGGAGGGUGAGCGGCAACACUGGUGAUGCGAGACGGCCAAGACUCCGGCAGGCGGCAGCGGGGAGGAAUGUUGCACGGUGGGCGCAAUGCUGAUGCAGCGACGCCGCGGGAGGGAUGGAGGCCUGCGGGUUAUGAACCUCUUUCGCCAGUGAAGCAGACCUGCCUCGUUUGUGGGUGUGUUGACGGUAGCUGGAGAAGAAGCGCCGGCUAACUACGUG